Bison bison bison is the source of this 106-nucleotide small nucleolar RNA. The record is from Ensembl. NCBI's taxonomy places the organism in Eukaryota, Metazoa, Chordata, Mammalia, Artiodactyla, Bovidae.
CCUCAAUAAUGAGUUGCCAUGCUAAUAACUGAGCUACCAGCUAGGGCAGUGUUGCCCUGCUUUGGGUGCCCGUGAGUUUAGUAACAGCAACAAAAUACUGGCAGCC